CUUUGUCUUCCCGUGUCUCUGGAUGUUAUGACAGGUUUCCAGAUGGGCCCCGUUCGUCUAUAAAUAAACUGCUGUUCCCGCCGAAAAAACACCGACUCUUAUGUUUAAUGCAUCUCAUUAGUUUGCAGCGGAUCUGUUCCAAAGACUCUCCAACAAAGAACUGCAGAGGGGAAGACACGUGUGCAACCUGCGUUUGACCCCCGGUGAACAGGUGGGAUCUGGGCUAAAAACUUGUUUUCCUUGAAAGCUCCGACACUGAUCUGAAGAGAGUGAGAUUUCCAGGACCAGUGGCAAAAAAUCUUAAUAACCAUGCUUGCUGUUAAGAUACAUAAUAUUUUUACCUGGGGUCCAGUGCCAGAUGGCUCACUGUCUGCUUUUGGGCCUCGGACCAGUGGUGGGGGACCCCUGGUGUAGAUGUAUUGUACCCCUGGUGCAGACUGAAACCAUCGCUUUUCAGUUACACUGGUGUACAGAUUGGCAUCACUGUACAAAUGAACUGAGCUGAGGUAUAUUACAUUAAUUCGGUGGGAAGUCUGUUCUCUCAUCCAAAUGCCAAUGAGGCAACCGGCCAGUAACAGUGGAUGACCAGGACCCCUCUUCAGCUGCUGGCAAGGUUCUUGAGCAGAAGUGACUAGGAUUGAUUAGUCCAUAACCAUUUAGUAUUUGAGGUCAAAACAAAAUCAAAAGGAUACCCAUGAGGAGAACAUGAAAACUGCAGACACAAAUCUCCACAUGAUUAAG
Boleophthalmus pectinirostris (great blue-spotted mudskipper) is the source of this 741-nucleotide long non-coding RNA. RefSeq lists it as uncharacterized. The record is from RefSeq and is a predicted model, not a curated record. NCBI's taxonomy places the organism in Eukaryota, Metazoa, Chordata, Actinopteri, Gobiiformes, Gobiidae. The transcript has 4 exons.